AAAGAAAAUGGAGAGAGAAGUGGGGUCGAACACUUUCCACUAUCUGGCAUUGUUGAUGAGAUGAAAAAUGCAAGACGAGAAAAGAAAGAAAGAAAGCAUGAUAUGAUGAAAUAAGGUGAAUUGUUUAUUGUAAUAAUUGAGCAAAAGGGGAUGCAACUAGAUCUUGGAAAACUUAUUCUACUCACCCACUUAAGAACAAUAAGAAAAUG
RNAcentral lists this long non-coding RNA (209 nucleotides) under Vigna radiata. RNAcentral's name for it is "long non-coding RNA (VRAD_LNC008719)". Lineage: Eukaryota; Viridiplantae; Streptophyta; Magnoliopsida; Fabales; Fabaceae. The record is from RNAcentral.